UCCGGUUUGUCACCGGCAGUCUCGCAUGAGUCCCCAACUAAAUGCUGGCAACAUGCGACGGGGGUUGCGCUCGUUGCGGGACUUAACCCAACAUCUCACGACACGAGCUGACGACAGCCAUGCAGCACCUGUGCACGCUCCCCUUGCGGGGUCGUUACCCUUUCAGGCUCCUACCACGUGCAUGUCAAGGCCAGGUAAGGUUCUUCGCGUUGCAUCGAAUUAAGCCACAUACUCCACCGCUUGUGCAGGCCCCCGUCAAUUUCUUUGAGUUUUAAUCUUGCGACCGUACUUCCCAGGCGGCUUGCUUAUCGCGUUGGCUUCGCCACAAAAGGGGUCGAUUCCUCUUCCAGCGUCUAGCACACAUCGUUUACGGCGUGGACUAC
Molecule: unclassified non-coding RNA, 383 nt
Filed under: uncultured Verrucomicrobiae bacterium
Lineage: Bacteria; Pseudomonadati; Verrucomicrobiota; Verrucomicrobiia
Description: contains 16S-23S intergenic spacer region
Source: RNAcentral